Molecule: long non-coding RNA, 1592 nt
Organism: Gallus gallus (chicken)
Lineage: Eukaryota; Metazoa; Chordata; Aves; Galliformes; Phasianidae
Source: Ensembl
CUUUGCAGCCAGGCUGCUCCCGCUGAUGGCAGCGGAGGAGCCGACGUGUGGCACUGCAUCGCCCGCAGCGCCCGUACAGCUGAGCGCACACACGUGCGCAGGGAGCGUUUUAACGCAGAGCCUUCCGCUCUCCCGGCGCGGCCCAGGAGAAAACACCGCGUCCCGCCCCGCUGCUGCCGGGAGGAACAGUGAUGCGGUGGGUUCUGUUUGCACGACUUCGGUGAAAAACUGUCUGCGAUGAAAGUGCAGCCGUGGAGCGGAGCGGCGCGCAGUGCGCUCCGGGGGAAGCUCAGACUGCAGUCCGUGCGCUCUGUGCUGCUGCUGCAAAACCGCCGUGAGCGGCGGCACGAGGGGGGGCACUGACAGCACACCACGGUGACACCGCCCUGUGGGGCGGGGGGGGAUGGGGAUCCAGGGGUAUGGGGUUGGGUUUGGGGUCUGGGAGGUGAUGGGGAUCCAGGGGUAUGGGGUUGGGUUUGGCACUGGGAGGUGAUGGGGAUCCAGGGAUAUGGGGUUGGGUUUGGGGUCUGGGAGGUGAUGGGGAUCCAGGGAUAUGGGGUUGGGUUUGGCACUGGGAGGUGAUGGGGAUCCAGGGAUAUGGGGUUGGGUUUGGGGUCUGGGAGGUGAUGGGGAUCCAGGGACAUGGGAUUAAGUUUGGGGUCUGGGAGGUGAUGGGGAUCCAGGGAUAUGGGGUUGGGUUUGGCACUGGGAGGUGAUGGGGAUCCAGGGAUAUGGGGUUAGGUUUGGGCUCUGGGAGGUGAUGGGGAUCCAGGGAUAUGGGGUUGGGUUUGGGGUCUGGGAGGUGAUGGGGAUCCAGGGAUAUGGGGUUGGGUUUGGCACUGGGAGGUGAUGGGGAUCCAGGGAUAUGGGGUUAGGUUUGGCACUGGGAGGUGAUGGGGAUCCAGGGAUAUGGGGUUGGGUUUGGGGUCUGGGAGGUGAUGGGGAUCCAGGGAUAUGGGGUUGGGUUUGGGGUCUGGGAGGUGAUGGGGAUCCAUGGAUAUGGGGUUGGGUUUGGCACUGGGAAUGAUGCUGAGCUGCGGGUGCUGGGGGAGCAGUCAGCCUCGCAUGGCCGCGUGGUGGGAUCUGUGCCGGAGCCCUAUUUGUAGUACAGCACACAAUGGGCGAUGGGCCGUCGGUGAUGAGCGACGGGAGGUGAGGGGUGGAUGAUGGGUUGUGGGAUGUCAAUGGGGUCAGUGGUUGGUGGUGGGUGGUGGGUGAUGGGCAGUGGGCAGCGGUGGGUGAUGGGGAAUGGGCAAUAGGUGCCGGGCAAUGGGCGAUGGGUGCUGGGCGAUGGGCGAUGGGCGAUGGGUGAUGGCACCCAGCGGGGGUCGGGGGUCCCAGGGCUCCUCACAUCCAUCCCCACUGCUUCAAAGGGACAGGACUGUGCCUGUGGGUGCGCGCUGCUGCCCCGCACGGGGCUCAUUAACGGUUCGAUGGGGGAGAAGCGUGUCCCCGUGGCGUGGCGCCGAGGUGGGCUCCGUCCCACCCGCCCCGCAUCGCACGGGAGCUGCGGGGAAGUGCAGCGGCUGUUUGCUAAGGAGGGGGGCGCCGCCGCCACUAAAGGAGGAGCCGCGUUCGGGUUUGGGGCGGAG